AGAGUUUGAUCCUGGCUCAGAACGAACGCUGGCGGCGUGCUUAACACAUGCAAGUCGAACGUGAUUGAGAGCUUGCUCUCAUGAAAGUGGCGCACGGGUGAGUAACACGUGGAUAAUCUGCCUGGCGAUUCGGGAUAACACUUCGAAAGGGGUGCUAAUACCGGAUAAGCCCACGGUCUCUUCGGAGAGCGCGGGAAAAGGGGGCCUCUGUAUACGCUCCUGUCGCUAGAUGAGUCCGCGGCCCAUUAGCUAGUUGGUAGGGUAAUGGCCUACCAAGGCUACGAUGGGUAGCUGGUCUGAGAGGAUGAUCAGCCACACUGGAACUGAGACACGGUCCAGACUCCUACGGGAGGCAGCAGUGGGGAAUUUUGCGCAAUGGGGGAAACCCUGACGCAGCAACGCCGCGUGAGUGAUGAAGGCUUUCGGGUCGUAAAGCUCUGUCAGAGGGGAAGAAAUGAAACGUGCUAAUAUCACGUUUUCUUGACGGUACCCUCAAAGGAAGCACCGGCUAACUCCGUGCCAGCAGCCGCGGUAAUAC
RNAcentral lists this ribosomal RNA (538 nucleotides) under uncultured Geobacter sp. RNAcentral's name for it is "bacterial SSU rRNA". It matches the Rfam family "Bacterial small subunit ribosomal RNA", at positions 8 to 526 of the family's 1533-position model. The record is from RNAcentral. RNAcentral also lists the same sequence under 1 other name. Lineage: Bacteria; Pseudomonadati; Thermodesulfobacteriota; Desulfuromonadia; Geobacterales; Geobacteraceae.